This 248-nucleotide ribosomal RNA is filed under the name uncultured bacterium. RNAcentral describes it as "partial 16S ribosomal RNA". It matches the Rfam family "Bacterial small subunit ribosomal RNA", at positions 523 to 769 of the family's 1533-position model. The record is from RNAcentral.
AUACGUAGGUGGCAAGCGUUGUCCGGAUUUACUGGGCGUAAAGGGAGCGUAGGCGGACCUUUAAGUGAGAUGUGAAAUACCCGAGCUCAACUUGGGUGCUGCAUUUCAAACUGGAGGUCUAGAGUGUCGGAGAGGUAAGCGGAAUUCCUAGUGUAGCGGUGAAAUGGCGUAGAGAUUAGGAAGAACACCAGUGGCGAAGGCGCUUCUCUGGACUGUAACUGACGCUGAGGCUCGAAAGCGUGGGGAGC